UAGUCCACGCCGUAAACGAUGGUUACUAGCCGUUUGGAUUUCGGUCUGAGUGGUUAAGCGAAAGUGAUAAGUAACCCACCUGGGGAGUACGUUCGCAAGAAUGAAACUCAAAGGAAUUGACGGGGGCCCGCACAAGCGGUGGAGCAUGUGGUUUAAUUCGAUGAUACGCGAGGAACCUUACCAGGGCUUAAAUGUAUGUUGACGUGAUUAGAGAUAGUCAUUUCUCCGGACAGAUUACAAGGUGCUGCAUGGUUGUCGUCAGCUCGUGCCGUGAGGUGUCAGGUUAAGUCCUAUAACGAGCGCAACCCCUGUUGUUAGUUGCCAGCGAGUAAUGUCGGGAACUCUAGCAAGACUGCCGGUGCAAACCGCGAGGAAGGUGGGGAUGACGUCAAAUCAUCACGGCCCUUACGUCCUGGGGCCACACACGUGCUACAAUGGUAGGGUACAGAGAGCAGCCACGUCGCGAGGCGGAGCGAAUCUAUAAAACCUAU
Molecule: ribosomal RNA, 491 nt
Filed under: uncultured bacterium
Lineage: Bacteria
Description: bacterial SSU rRNA
Rfam family: Bacterial small subunit ribosomal RNA
Source: RNAcentral